AUUUUCUGCUCGGUCUAUCCUUGCUUCGGUUGAUAUUUAUUUAAUUAUCACUGGGGAAAGUAGACCUUGCAGUAGUU
RNAcentral lists this microRNA precursor (77 nucleotides) under Tribolium castaneum (red flour beetle). Its description in RNAcentral is "microRNA tca-mir-3836f precursor". Lineage: Eukaryota; Metazoa; Arthropoda; Insecta; Coleoptera; Tenebrionidae. The record is from miRBase by way of RNAcentral.